CCCUGUGUGGCUCAGUUGGUAGAGCAUGGUGUUUGCAAUGCCAGGGUUGUGGGUUCGAUUCCCAUGGGGG
RNAcentral lists this transfer RNA (70 nucleotides) under Salmo salar (Atlantic salmon). It matches the Rfam family "tRNA". From Rfam's summary of the family: Transfer RNA (tRNA) molecules are approximately 80 nucleotides in length. Their secondary structure includes four short double-helical elements and three loops (D, anti-codon, and T loops). Lineage: Eukaryota; Metazoa; Chordata; Actinopteri; Salmoniformes; Salmonidae. The record is from Rfam by way of RNAcentral.